This 656-nucleotide long non-coding RNA is filed under the name Felis catus (domestic cat). RNAcentral's name for it is "lncRNA (ENSFCAG00000046517.2)". Lineage: Eukaryota; Metazoa; Chordata; Mammalia; Carnivora; Felidae. The record is from RNAcentral.
AGGUGGAGUAUCCAAACUGGGAGGACUCUCAGGGAUCGUCCACCCACGCCGUACCGAUGGAGACAGGAGGCCCUGUGUGGGGCAGGGAGCUCGCACAGAGCAGGAAUUCGGGCCCUGAAUCCUAGAGGGGGCUCUGCCAAUGCCCGGGCCCGGGAGGCACGCCUCACGUGUGUCCGAACCCAAAGUAACCUGGUCCUGCUGCCAUCUUGUGACCUAGUGGCUGCACGUGGAUGGCUGGAUGUGGAGCAUCGCUCGGCCCUGCUCCCUAGUUCCUGCGUUUCCAAUCAAAUCAUCUCAAGUCAAUAAUCUUCCUUGGCAACGUUCUCGAACAGACAUGAAACGUUCUGCCGAGCGGACCCGUCUUCGCUUGUGCUACCCCUGUCCUCUGGCGGGACAUCGAGGUGACUUCCAGUUUCUCUCUGUCAUAAAAAAGGCCGUGACGAACAUCCUCAGCACCCCAAGCUUGGGUCACAUCUCCAAAGAUGCCUGCAGGGGGCGUUCCCAGAAGUGGGGGGUGAGCGGGCCAAAGGUUGUGAACCUCCUUUAAGCAACAAAAACAUCCUGCUAAAUGUCCUUUCAGAAAAAUGGCACUGAGUCCUGCCAGCAGUAGAGGAAAUUCUUCAUCUCACUUCCCCCCACCCCCACCCCCCCAGCAU